RNAcentral lists this ribosomal RNA (463 nucleotides) under Acinetobacter baumannii OIFC032. RNAcentral's name for it is "bacterial SSU rRNA". It matches the Rfam family "Bacterial small subunit ribosomal RNA", at positions 55 to 512 of the family's 1533-position model. The record is from RNAcentral. Lineage: Bacteria; Pseudomonadati; Pseudomonadota; Gammaproteobacteria; Moraxellales; Moraxellaceae.
AUGCAAGUCGAGCGGGGGAAGGUAGCUUGCAACUGGACCUAGCGGCGGACGGGUGAGUAAUGCUUAGGAAUCUGCCUAUUAGUGGGGGACAACAUCUCGAAAGGGAUGCUAAUACCGCAUACGUCCUACGGGAGAAAGCAGGGGAUCUUCGGACCUUGCGCUAAUAGAUGAGCCUAAGUCGGAUUAGCUAGUUGGUGGGGUAAAGGCCUACCAAGGCGACGAUCUGUAGCGGGUCUGAGAGGAUGAUCCGCCACACUGGGACUGAGACACGGCCCAGACUCCUACGGGAGGCAGCAGUGGGGAAUAUUGGACAAUGGGGGGAACCCUGAUCCAGCCAUGCCGCGUGUGUGAAGAAGGCCUUAUGGUUGUAAAGCACUUUAAGCGAGGAGGAGGCUACUUUAGUUAAUACCUAGAGAUAGUGGACGUUACUCGCAGAAUAAGCACCGGCUAACUCUGUGCCAGC